Molecule: ribosomal RNA, 160 nt
Filed under: Scheffersomyces stipitis
Lineage: Eukaryota; Fungi; Ascomycota; Pichiomycetes; Serinales; Debaryomycetaceae
Also listed under: 11 other names
Description: 5.8S ribosomal RNA
Rfam family: 5.8S ribosomal RNA
About the family: 5.8S ribosomal RNA (5.8S rRNA) is a component of the large subunit of the eukaryotic ribosome.
Source: RNAcentral
AAACUUUCAACAACGGAUCUCUUGGUUCUCGCAUCGAUGAAGAACGCAGCGAAAUGCGAUAAGUAAUAUGAAUUGCAGAUUUUCGUGAAUCAUCGAAUCUUUGAACGCACAUUGCGCCCUUUGGUAUUCCAAAGGGCAUGCCUGUUUGAGCGUCAUUUCU